RNAcentral lists this ribosomal RNA (465 nucleotides) under Vreelandella stevensii. RNAcentral describes it as "partial 16S ribosomal RNA". It matches the Rfam family "Bacterial small subunit ribosomal RNA", at positions 338 to 795 of the family's 1533-position model. The record is from RNAcentral. Lineage: Bacteria; Pseudomonadati; Pseudomonadota; Gammaproteobacteria; Oceanospirillales; Halomonadaceae.
CCUACGGGUGGCAGCAGUGGGGAAUAUUGGACAAUGGGGGGAACCCUGAUCCAGCCAUGCCGCGUGUGUGAAGAAGGCCCUCGGGUUGUAAAGCACUUUCAGUGAGGAAGAACGCCUGGUGGUUAAUACCCAUCAGGAAAGACAUCACUCACAGAAGAAGCACCGGCUAACUCCGUGCCAGCAGCCGCGGUAAUACGGAGGGUGCGAGCGUUAAUCGGAAUUACUGGGCGUAAAGCGCGCGUAGGUGGCUUGAUAAGCCGGUUGUGAAAGCCCCGGGCUCAACCUGGGAACGGCAUCCGGAACUGUCAAGCUAGAGUGUAGGAGAGGAAGGUAGAAUUCCCGGUGUAGCGGUGAAAUGCGUAGAGAUCGGGAGGAAUACCAGUGGCGAAGGCGGCCUUCUGGACUGACACUGACACUGAGGUGCGAAAGCGUGGGUAGCAAACAGGAUUAGAUACCCCUGUAGUC